Molecule: ribosomal RNA, 751 nt
Filed under: Scarabaeidae sp. NZAC 03009294
Lineage: Eukaryota; Metazoa; Arthropoda; Insecta; Coleoptera; Scarabaeidae
Description: eukaryotic LSU rRNA
Rfam family: Eukaryotic large subunit ribosomal RNA (bases 403-751)
Source: RNAcentral
UACGUGAAACCGUUCAGGGGUAAACCUGAGAAACCCGAAAGGUCGAAAGGGGAGAUUCAACGCGACUCGGAGCUCGCGAGCGGCGUGCGACUGACGGGCGGCCGUUUCGUGCGGCCAGCCCGCUCCGCGCGUCGACCGAUCGGGCAUCGAACGCGUGCACUUCUCCUCCUGUAGGACGUCGUGACCCGUUGGGCGCCGGCCUAAGGACCGCGGUGGAGCCCGGACGCCUUUGGCGCGUCCGGACCCGCGGAUACCCGGCCGGCACGACCGACGGUACAACUACGGCGCGGGGCCGCGACCAGUUCGCGUCCGGCGCGUCGCAAGCGCGAACGGUAAACGGGGGCAGUCCGGGCCUAGUACCGGAUCCCGACCCGUUCGGCUGUUAGCGGCGCAGUCCUCGGACAGACCCCGUACACGCCAGUCUACGGCGCUAUAGCUUUGGGUACUUUCAGGACCCGUCUUGAAACACGGACCAAGGAGUCUAGCAUGUGCGCGAGUCACUGGGACUCAAUUAAACCUAAAGGCGCAAUGAAAGUAAAGGUCCGCCUCGCGCGGACCGAGGGAGGAUGGGCCCGUCCACGGGCGGGCCCCGCACUCCCGGGGCGUCUCGUUCUCAUCGCGAGAAGAGGCGCACCCAGAGCGUACACGCUGGGACCCGAAAGAUGGUGAACUAUGCCUGGUCAGGACGAAGUCAGGGGAAACCCUGAUGGAGGUCCGUAGCGAUUCUGACGUGCAAAUCGAUCGUCGGAAC